RNAcentral lists this ribosomal RNA (162 nucleotides) under Bysmatrum caponii. RNAcentral describes it as "5.8S ribosomal RNA". It matches the Rfam family "5.8S ribosomal RNA". From Rfam's summary of the family: 5.8S ribosomal RNA (5.8S rRNA) is a component of the large subunit of the eukaryotic ribosome. It is transcribed by RNA polymerase I as part of the 45S precursor that also contains 18S and 28S rRNA. The record is from RNAcentral. Lineage: Eukaryota; Dinophyceae; Peridiniales; Peridiniaceae.
CUUCAGUGAUGGAUGUCUUGGCUCAGGUGUUGAUGAAGGGCGUGGUGAAGUAUGAUAGACCCUGCGACGUGCGAAGUUCCGAGAGUAAGGAGAACCUUGAAUGCGAACUCUUCCCCCAGGGCACACCUGGGGGGGUCCCUUUUGGCGCCUUUUGAUAGAUCU